Long non-coding RNA from Microplitis mediator, 1893 nucleotides. RefSeq lists it as uncharacterized. The transcript is spliced from 3 exons. Lineage: Eukaryota; Metazoa; Arthropoda; Insecta; Hymenoptera; Braconidae. The record is from RefSeq and is a predicted model, not a curated record.
AGUCUGAUGUUUGUCCGUGUACAACGCGCGCAGGGAUGACACUCCCUGAUAUGAGGUGUGCACGAGGUCGCGCGCACUCUUCCGACAAGUUGCACAUAUAUAUACGUACAUGUAUAUAUUUAUAUGUAUAUAUAUUUAUAUACAUAUCUAUAUAUAUAUUGAUACAUAUAUGUACAACGAGGGUGCAAACAUCAAGUUAUACAAAACUUGUACGACGCGUUUCUCAGUACUUUGUACACUGAUAAUACAAGACUUUAUAAAGGAGGAAAAAUUGUCAGCGGAAGAUAUCAGGGGAAAUUUCGAUGCUAAUUUUCCAAUGGAAAAUCUGAAUUACUCUCCAGGAGCCAGAAAUAAGAAAUAUCUAGAGUCGGUGUCGUACUGAACGCUGACUCGAAUCACUUCCACUAUCACUCGUGUCGGUAUAAAAGGAUGCUAAGAACCCGCUGCAGGUAAAUACGAGCCCUGUCGGCAAGAAAGAUCUACUGGCGGUACAACAGCCGGUUCGGCUGUUAGCAGAUAAUUUUUUUUCUCUGCUGUCAGUUGCUACAGUAAUUACACUUGAUAAUUGAAUUAUGAAAUUAAGUGAACUAAAAAUAUUGUAAUUAAUAAAAAAUUAGUUGGAUAAAUGUGAGCAAAUUUUUAUAACCGGGUUACGAAAACGAGAAAAUUUGAUUGGUAGUUAAAAAUUAAUUAAAAUUUUAAUUUAAUUAUUAAGUAUCCAUUAUAUUUCUGUCGUAGAAUGAGAUUAUAAAAAAAAAAUUACUUGAGAGUUAUUUGCGUGAAUAUAAAUGCAAUUACUUUGUAUAGAGAAAUCAUUAUGAUGGAAAAAAGCGAUCUACGAUAUAAAUUGCAAUGAAAAUAAAAAAUUGAUUGUUAUUUUAAUUCAAGUUUUUUUUAUGACAGUAAAGUUGGCAAACCUCUGACAAUUUUUGAAAUUUUUAAAUAAUAAAAUGAAAUUGAUUUAACGAAAAAUUUAACAAAUGGACUUUCCGAAAAUUAUAAAAUCAGUACAUGCAUUUUUUUUUAUAUUAUCAAUUUAAUUUUUCAAUUUUUUUAUAUGUAAUUUAAAAAUUGUCUUAUGUCUGCUACAUUUACACUCAUGUUUUUUUUAUCGACGAGAUAUUUUGAAUAAUGCCAUUGAAAAAUGAAAAAUGGUCAAAUGGAAGUAUUGUAAUUAAUUUUGAAUGAUUAUAGUAAGCGAUUUUAAAUUUACAAGUGCGAUAUUUUCGUAGUUUUUUUUGUUUUGUGCGAAAAAUAUCUCAAGCAUCGCAUCAGAGAUGUCUGUUAAAGAGUGAUUGAUAUCUGAAUCUGGUUAGACGGCAUGUGGGUUAUUAAAAGUACAGAAAAUAAAAGACUGAAAACACAUACUCGGAUAAGUGGAUACGGGUACAGUGUUCGUAUCACAAAAAAUUAUAAUGAGGAUUAUAAAAAAACUGUGUAGUUUUUUAUUAAUAAUCUACUGAGUAGCGGAAAAAAUUGAAUAAUAAAUUAAAAUUAGACAUCGGACAAAGUAAAAUCAAAUAAAAAAUAAAAUACACAUUUGAAUUUACUCAGUUUUUUACACAUACCCAACAGUGUUCUUGUGGAGCUUGCAAACAGAAUUUUAAAUCAAAAGAAUUCAAACUGAAUAGUAUAAAGGGCAUAAUUUCUAAGUCGUUUGAAGCCUUUUUUUUUAUAAUUUAACGACUUAAUUACAAAUAGAAAACGUUUUUCAUUCAAAAAUAUAAAGAAAAUAUAAAUCUUCGAAUUUCUGUCAAUUUUUAAGUCUAUUACGUGUCUAAUUGGGUAACUUGGUUAUUUUUUCAAUGGUUUUAAGAAGCAGUGAUUAAUAAAUUAUGAAACUGAAGUUAGCAGACAAUUAAAAAUCGUAUAUUUUUUUUUAUGAUAGUAAAG